RNAcentral lists this transfer RNA (72 nucleotides) under Iningainema tapete BLCC-T55. It matches the Rfam family "tRNA". From Rfam's summary of the family: Transfer RNA (tRNA) molecules are approximately 80 nucleotides in length. Their secondary structure includes four short double-helical elements and three loops (D, anti-codon, and T loops). Lineage: Bacteria; Bacillati; Cyanobacteriota; Cyanophyceae; Nostocales; Scytonemataceae. The record is from Rfam by way of RNAcentral.
GCCGAUGUGGCUCAGUGGUAGAGCAGCUGAUUCGUAACCAGCAGGUCACGGGUUCAAAUCCCGUCAUCGGCU